Molecule: ribosomal RNA, 375 nt
Filed under: Nematoda sp.
Lineage: Eukaryota; Metazoa; Nematoda
Description: SSU rRNA
Rfam family: Eukaryotic small subunit ribosomal RNA
Source: RNAcentral
CUGAAUAACUCAGCUGAUCGCAUGGUCCUUGCACCGGCGACGUAUCUUUCAAGUGUCUGCCUUAUCAACUUUCGAUGGUAGUUUACACGCCUACCAUGGUUGUAACGGGUAACGGAGAAUAAGGGUUCGACUCCGGAGAGGGAGCCUGAGAAACGGCUACCACAUCCAAGGAAGGCAGCAGGCGCGCAAAUUACCCACUCUCGGUACGAGGAGGUAGUGACGAAAAAUAACGAGACGGUUCUCUAUGAGGUCCGUCAUCGGAAUGGGUACAAUUUAAACCCUUUAACGAGGAUCUAUUGGAGGGCAAGUCUGGUGCCAGCAGCCGCGGUAAUUCCAGCUCCAAUAGCGUAUAUUAAAGUUGUUGCGGUUAAAAAG